Molecule: small nucleolar RNA, 133 nt
Organism: Chinchilla lanigera (long-tailed chinchilla)
Lineage: Eukaryota; Metazoa; Chordata; Mammalia; Rodentia; Chinchillidae
Source: Ensembl
ACUGCCCCUUGAGGUGUUGCAGGUGUGGCUGCUGUGUCACAGCUGCAUCACUAGGUGGCAGAGAGAAUCGAGGCUAUGUCUACACUCAGGGUUCCGAUCCCUGAAUGCCUGAAUGAUUAGUAGCCUGACACGG